CAGAGGGUGCGAGCGUUGUCCGGAAUUACUGGGCGUAAAGGGCGCGUAGGCGGCCUGAUAAGUCGGGGGUGAAAUUCAGCGGCUCAACCGCUGGACUGCCUUCGAGGCUGUUAGGCUCGAGCACGGUAGAGGCUGGUGGAAUUCCCGGUGUAGCGGUGGAAUGCGUAGAGAUCGGGAAGAACAUCGGUGGCGAAGGCGGCCAGCUGGGCCGUUGCUGACGCUGAUGCGCGACAGCGUGGGGAGCAAACAGGAUUAGAUACCCUGGUAGUCCACGCCGUAAACGAUGGGCACUAGGCGCCGGGGGGGAGCGACCCCUUCGGUGCCGUCGUUAACACAGUAAGUGCCCCGCCUGGGGAGUACGGCCGCAAGGCUG
RNAcentral lists this ribosomal RNA (373 nucleotides) under uncultured organism. RNAcentral describes it as "bacterial SSU rRNA". It matches the Rfam family "Bacterial small subunit ribosomal RNA", at positions 526 to 896 of the family's 1533-position model. The record is from RNAcentral.